GGGUAAAGGUGUUUGCAGCAUGAGCCUGGUGGCUUGAGUUUGAUCCCCAGAACCCACAUGGUGAGACGAGAGAACAUCUCACAUAUGCACACAGUAGCAUGCACGUGCCCCUCCCCACACACACCUUGCAUGAACAAUAAAUUAAUAUUUUAAUGAAGAUAUCAAAAGCAUUAAUGCUCUAUUCUUAAUUACAGCCUGUGUUUCCUAUGACUGCAUAAAGAGAAGAGUAAUUUAAAAUUAUCUGCCCCAGGAUGAUGUCAUGAUUCACAUAUCAGCAUUGUCUCAAGAAUCUUCACUUCUACUGUUCAAUAUUGACUUUUGUUCAAUAGGAUGAAAAAAGUGGAGAUAACUUGAGGGAGCUCACCAGACAAGGCACAAGAGUCUUAACACUGCGAUGACCUACAAGACUGGCCUGUUGAUUGUUGAUGUUUCCUCAUGGAUGGGAUAAGAAGGUUCCCCAGGGCCUCACCUGAGUCAGAGUCCUUACAAAAACAACCCCUGCGGAAUGUGGAGGAUGUGAAAACCAGAGCGGGUGGCUGGCUGCUAAGACAGUCUACAAGUUCAAACGCAGCUCUGAGAGGAAUUGGAAUAAUUGCUUUGGUUCACUGUAGUGCCAGGGAUAGCAAUAUCUACUAAAAUAUGGUUUAAAAGAAAAGCACCCAAAUUAAAAACUCCAGUGAGUUCCCCUCUGCAGCCUUCUUGUCCUGAGGGCUGCCCCCAUCAUCCCGUCAUCUGUAGAAGGCCUCCACUGCUCCCUCUACUCUUUCCUUAAAUCCCAUCUCCCACUUCUACCCUUCUUUCUGCCUUCAGACUCUGUACAUGCAAGCUCACUCUAAGUACUCAAUACAAAUAGGCAUUCAUGAGGAUGGGACAGGCAGAUAUCUGUGAAUUCAGGGCCAGCCUGGUCUACAUAGUGAAAGAGGCAGAGAAGGAAAGAAGGAGGGUGGGAGGGAAAGAAGGAGAGAAAGAGGAAAUUAGGCUCAAGUCUUCACAGAUUGGACCCUGGAAGCUGGCACUCCAGCAGGACAGAGCAGCUGGCCCAGCACAUCUGCUAAAGUCAUGUUACCGGCAGCAACCUGCACAGUCAUGCCUCCGUGAUCCCUGGCUCCCUUCUAGAACUGGGCACCUGAACUAGCAAAGGCUUUUCUAUGUUUUCUUCAGUGCACAUACAAUUAGCUUUUCCAGUCCUGUCAGAGGCCUGAGGCAACCUACAGAAAUGGCUCACUGUUCUCUUGACCCAAAAGAUCCAAUAAAACCAUGCAAAUCAGUAGCGUCAAAUGUCCUCAUUAAGAAUGCUGUGAGACUGCCCAGGCCGCCAGAGGUAAACACAGAACCAUCCACCAUGUCUGAAAGAUGCUUCUGUAAGGAAGCUCCAUGUGCUAUGUGAAGGUGCAGUCACUGUCCUCACGCCGAACAGUGGGAGGGCGGCCCCAGAAGAGUGCAUAGAGUACUGCUUAGGUAGAUGACUAGGGGAUGAGGACUUAGGGGUUGACUGGUCAAGGCUCCCGAGAUGUGCCCCCAAGCCUACAGAGCUCAGAAUCAAAAAAAAAAAAACCCGGGAAACACGGAUAUGAUCCUGGUGGGAAAGGAACAAAUCCAGAAGAGGAGGCUGUGCAGAAGAGAUGUCCCAGAAGAAAGGAAGAAGCCGACCUCAUAGUUUCAUAGAAUAAUGCAUUUGUUCUCAUUUCUAUUCGCUGCCAAGAGAAAUUCAGCAAAACUUAAAUAGUCUCUCAAGCAGCAGUUUAUGUUGCCUCUGUGAAGAGUACAAACUGGCAGGGGUCUCCUCCAGGACUGAGGUCCCGAAGACAAGUGUGGAUUCUCCCGGCAUCUCCAGCUAACCCAGUGUCUAUUGAAGUGAUCACAAGUAAAGUGUUCAAUGAAUGCUGGAGGCUGGGGGGAGGAAUCCACUUGUGGCCAGGUGGAGGUAACUGGGCCAUAUCCAUUACAUAACUAACGUGGCAAAAUGUCCCAUCUGAGAAAUGCCAAAGUCAUCCCUUCACAUUUGUCUGACAAGGAUCUAAUUUAUGCACUGGAAUCCAAAUUCAAACGAGUCCUGAGCUUCUCUUUUUCCAUGUAAAUUAGACAGGGUGGCAAGGCGGGGCAUUUCCUCACAGAAAGGCUCCCUUUCAAAGGAAGGCAAAGAGCCAUUUGUAACUGUUGCCCUCCCAUGGCAGCUGCUAUUUAAAUUCUGUGGCAGGAUUCUAUUGUAAAAUUGUAUCUUACCUAAGAAAGUUGAAACAGGUUUCACAAACAACAGGCAAAUCUAGACAAAUGAAACGUGGACUGUCGCCCUCAAGCUUACAAACAGGUAGCAGCAUUCCUUCAAAGACUGAAGAGCAACGAGGGGUGACAGAGGAAUUGUGGAAGAUGUGCAGAUGGUGGCUAUGGGCAGGGCAUGGUGUGGAACCUCCAUUGCGAACCACCAUCAGUAAGUCCCAGCCAGGGAAGCAAACAGCAGAGAGAGCAAGAGAAUCUAACAUUUCAGGCUCAGUCAGGGCUCAUUGGUGCUGUGCUGUGCUAAGUUGGUGGGCCAUAUUGGAGCUAUGGACUCCAGCCUUCCUCUUGCCUUGAUUCCUCAACCCUCUUUGACUCCUUCUCUUCCUAAGCACACACACACACAGAGAGAGAGAGAGAGAGAGAGAGAGAGAGAGAGAGAGAGAGAGAGAGGGAGAGAGAGAGAGAGGAAAAAGAGACUUCAAUGGUGUGUGCCCUUAGGUAAAAGAAGAGGGUACCCACUAGGGGAUUGUAACUGCCUUCAGUUCUCUGACUGAAACUUCAUUACUCAAACUGCAAACUAAACUUUUAUCAGUGAGCAGGAGAACGAAAACUAAACCCUAUACCACAGUCCAGAGGAACGUUGUGUGGCCUUCAGCCUUGAUCAUUUCCUCUGAGAAUCAUUUAUGCUCCCCCAAAAGUGCCCACAUCCCCCCUUCCUCUCCUCUAUGAAGAGAGUAUUAAAGUUACAACCACCAGGCAAAGAGGUGUCAUGUAGCUUCUGAAGACACUGUAUGAACAAAAAAAUAAGAUCCAAGAAAGCCAAUAAUGCCUUAGAAUUAUUACAAAUAGAGGUGGAUCUUUCUUACUCUCCUCUCAAAAGACCCAGAGAAGCCACAGAGGUGCCCAGACCAGGUUCUGGGCCUAUGACUCCUGUCACCUAGGCAUGGCCUGCUAUUUGGCUGCUGUUCACUGAGCCGGCAAGUCCCAAAUACAUGGCAUAUGCAGGAAACUCUCUCGAUUGCUAAUGCUUUCUCGACAAAUGUGACUACUUUCCAAGUACCAACAGCUUGAUCAGUAGAGCCAGCAUUUCUAAGCUACUUGGAUCCCAGGCUGUUUGAUAGACUUACUGAGAAGGGCAAAGAAGAGACACGUAGGAUAUUAGGAAAAGCCCUGCAGCCCUGCAGCCCAUUUUCCACAUUAGGGCAAAGCAGGAAGCCACCUAGCUCACUGGCUCAGGACCCACGAGCCAGUAGGUGAGUAGAGGUUUGCGCUUAAUGUCUAUAAUGCUGGACAAAUACAUAGAGACAAAAACAGACCGAGAAUUAGGAGGUGGGGGUUUGGUGAUGGUUCAGCUAGUAAAACUCUUGCAAGCCUAAGAGCCUGAGCUCAGAUUCUCAGCACCCACAUUUAAAAAAAAAAAAAAAAAAAGAAU
Molecule: long non-coding RNA, 3649 nt
Organism: Mus musculus (house mouse)
Lineage: Eukaryota; Metazoa; Chordata; Mammalia; Rodentia; Muridae
Product: predicted gene, 53317
Exons: 3
Source: RefSeq, a predicted model, not a curated record